Long non-coding RNA from Haliotis rubra (blacklip abalone), 561 nucleotides. RefSeq lists it as uncharacterized. The record is from RefSeq and is a predicted model, not a curated record. The transcript has 6 exons. Lineage: Eukaryota; Metazoa; Mollusca; Gastropoda; Lepetellida; Haliotidae.
UACUGAACUGAAAACUAUGGUCACAGGUAUUGAACUCAAAACCCAUGAGCACAGGUAUUGAACUGAAACCCAUGAGCACAGGUAUUGAACUGAAACCCAUGGGCACAGGUAUUGAACUAAAAACCCAUGGGCACAGGUAUUGAACUGAAACCCAUGGGCACAGGUAUUGAACUGAAACCCAUGGGCACAGGUAUUGAACUGAAAACCCAUGGGUACAGGUAUUGAACUUGAAAACCCAUGGGCACAGGUAUUGAACUGAAAACCCAUGGGCACAGGUAUUGAACUGAAACCCAUGAGCACAGGUAUUGAACUGAAAACCCAUGGGCACAGGUAUUGAACUUGAAACCCCAUGAGCACAGGUACUGAACUGAAACCCAUGAGCACAGGUACUGAACUGAAAACUAUGGGCACAGGUAUUGAACUGAAACCCAUGAGCACAGGUAUUGAACUGAAAACCCAUGGGCACAGGUAUUGAACUGAAACCCAUGAGCACAGGUAUUGAACUGAAAACCCAUGGGCACAGGUAUUGAACUUGAAAACUAUGGGCACAGGUAUUGAACU